AUGAUACUCCCUCUGUCUAAAAAUACUUGCGAUAGGAAUGAAUGUAUCUAGAUGUAUUUUAGUUAUAGAUACAUCCACUUUUAUCCAUUUUUGGGACAAGUAAUUCCGGACGGAGGGAGUACAAA
Non-coding RNA from Hordeum vulgare subsp. vulgare (domesticated barley), 125 nucleotides. NCBI's taxonomy places the organism in Eukaryota, Viridiplantae, Streptophyta, Magnoliopsida, Poales, Poaceae. The record is from Rfam.